Molecule: long non-coding RNA, 19434 nt
Filed under: Coffea arabica (coffee)
Lineage: Eukaryota; Viridiplantae; Streptophyta; Magnoliopsida; Gentianales; Rubiaceae
Description: long non-coding RNA (CARA_LNC002540)
Source: RNAcentral
GGAACAUACAACGCGUGUAAACAAGUCAAAAGGUCAAAAUAAAAAAAAUGAAUACGGAAUCGGCCAUGAAUAGUAACCGACACGUCAAAACCCAACCAAACAUCAAGCAAAUAUUUACAUGUUGAAAUUAAGCAUAUACAAUCUAAAGUGGCAUACAAAAGUUAAUCAAAAGUGGAUACAUGCAUGGUUUGCCAAAUUAAAAGUGAAACAGAUCCAAAAGUACAUUUAGGGUUUCAAUCAAUGAGUUAUACAAAAGAUAUGUCCAACUAGCUCAAUUCGGCACCCAACUAUCAAUUGUAGUCCAAAAGUAUUUAUUUUCCUGUAAGAAAAACAAAAGGAAUAGGGUGAGCUUACGUCCAGUGAGAUAAUACAACUCAAGCAGCAAAGUUUACAUAAGCAUAAAGCUUUUCAUUCCAAUUCAUCAAAAGUAAACAAAGGCACAUAUCAAAAGUGGUGAUAAAAGGAUACGGGCGGCUCUCAAGAGCCCUUUUUCUCGUUUGCAUUCUUGAUCGAAGCUCAUUGACCCUCCGUCAAUGUUUAAGAGUAACCAACCGUAGACUCCACUUUACUUCCAUUCCUUCCACCCAACAUAUCCCUACCGGACCCGAAUUCCAAACACUUGCAAUGUGGUAUUAUUCGAGUAUAUCGGAAUUGAGAGUUUCAUACUACAAGAUUCCAUAUAACAGUUUUCCAAGGCUCAUUAAUUGUCACGACCAAGCUCUCGCUGGCUUGAUUCAAUCAACUAUCAAUGGGGUUGAACUCAAUGGUAACAAGCAUGGUCGUUGGAUACUCGUUCAAACGCCACCAAUUCAAUUACUUUCAUUUCAUGUAACAUUUCAAUCAUGGUAAACAAUAAUAUAAGACACAUGAGAGUGAUCAAGUACACCCUCACUUCAAACAAUAUUCAACGCAUCAAAUUCAAGUACAUCAAAGCCAUAUAGUAACACACAAGUGAGUAGUACACUUAUCAAGCUUGAAAAUGAUAUUUCAUGCACCUCCGUCAAAGGAGCGUUGUGAACCACCGUCAAAGGAGCGUUAUGAACCACCGUCACGCUCUAAAACAUGCAAACAAGUACAAUGAGACUCGAUAACGAGUCAUAAACCAAUGCCAAAUACUACCAAAAUAGUGUUCCAUAAGCAUACAUAAGCAUUAGAGGAAACCCAAAAAAUCCAGAAAUGGAGUUAAGUGCUCACAAAAAAAAAACAGUUUUUGACAUCAUUUUGUGGUUUUGGCACCAAAGGCACUACGAUUAUCGGAUGAAGGUGCAAAACACACCGUUUCGAAACUAAAAGAUAGGGCUACAAUAUUGCAGAAGGUCACUCAGUCCAGUUUUGAGUGUAACCAGGUCAAAAAUGCAAUAUACUACACCAGAACCGCAAAAACAGGUUCACAAAUCGCAUUCUGGUGCAAACAUCAUAAAUCAGGCUACCUAAGUCCAAAUUCAGUAAUUCCAAAGCCAUCCGAAAGCUAAGAAACAGGGCUACAAUUCAUCAAAAGACCUCAACAAUCAAUUCCGAAGCAUUCCCAACCAAAAUAACCCAUUACAGAAGCAAUUCUCAAAUUCGGGUAAAAUCAGGGCAGCAAGGGUAAUUCCGUCUUUUCUCAAGAUACGCUACUCCGAUUGACCUGAAAUUUUGCAGGCAUCUCUAAAAUAUCAUUCCCUACAACUUUCAUGUUUUAACCCAAGGCCAAUUCGGCCCCUAACUAUGAGCUACAGUGCCGGGCAGAAUGAAGAACAAUGAAACCCUAACCUUUCAAUUUUCUUUCCAAAACAGAAAUUGCUUGCAAUUAACCACUUUUUCCACCUUCUAGCUUCCUUAAAUACUAUUUCCAAUCAUCAUACAUGGCUACACCAUAAUAAUCAUAUUAAAACAGAAAUCACAUGAUUAAAUAGAAAAAUGUCAUCAAUCUCAACUCAAAUCAUGAAGUAGCACCAAUAAUUAUCACCUCAACUCACAUAAGUUACUAAUUAAACAUUAUUGGAAGGAAAAGAGUAGUUUCUUAGUCACUCACCUUAUAACACAAGAUAGGAAGCAAUUCAACUAUUCCAGGUCUAGUGCCUUCCUUUCACCAAUUUCGUCCCAACCGGCAUUUUCGUCCAUAUAGUGCCUCGUAUGGAGCCAUUUGAAUCGACGAAUGGUAGCUGUUGUUGUACGCAAACUCUACUAAGGUCAUGUGUUGACCUCAGUUGCCUCCAAAAUUCAGAAUGCAAGUCCGUAGCAUGGCCUCGAGAGUUUGGAUGGUUCGCUCCGAUUGUCCAUCCGUCUGAGGGUGAUAGGUCGUGUUCAAAUUGAGUUUCGUAUCCAGGGUUUCUUGGAACUUCUGCCAAAAUCGAGAUACGAACCGGGGAUCUCUAUCGGAAACGAUACUCACAGGAACGCCGUGUAGCCUCACGAUCUCAUCCAUGUACAGUUGGGCCAACUUGUCCAUGGAGUACUUCAUGUUUACUGGCAAGAAAUGGGCCGAUUUGGUUAAUCGAUCGACGAUCACCAAAACGGCAUCGUGCCCUUUUUGCGUCCGCGGCAAACCUGAAACGAAGUCCAUGGAUGGAAGAGGCUCAAGAAAAAGUCAAGUUGAUACGGCAACGACUCCAAACUGCUCAAAGUCGACAAAAGAGUUACGCAGACAAUCGAAGAAAAGACUUGGAGUUCGAAGUUGGAGAUCGUGUUUUCCUCAAGGUUACACCGUUACGGAGUGUCACGACGGGUAGAGGAAAGAAAUUGCAACCGAGGUUCGUCGGACCUUACAAGAUCCUGCAGAGGAUAGGUGCGGUAGCAUAUAGACUAGAGCUGCCGUCAAGUCUCUCUAGAAUUCACGACGUCUUCCACGUUUCGAUGUUAAAGAAGUACUAUCCCGAUCCAUCCCAUAUCUUACAAUCCGAGGAGAUCGACGUAGACGAAUCGCUUUCUUACGAAGAGAAACCUGUCCAAGUGCUUGAUCGGAAAGUUAAAGAGCUAAGAAACAACCGGAUUCCGUUGGUUAAGAUACUGUGGAGAAACCAUGGGAUAGAGGAAGUUACUUGGGAGAUGGAAGAGGAAAUGUGAAAGAAAUACCCUGAACUUUUCGUGAGUUGAGGUUAGAAAUUUCGAGGGCGAAAUUCUUUUAAGGGGGAGAGAGUGUGAGAACCCGUAAUUUUUUUUCAUUUCCUAGGUUUUAUUAUAUUCAAUGGCUUGUUUUUUGCAUUUUCGUAAUUAGGAAAAUUUCUAGAUACUUUUAAUGAGCACAUAUAGUUUUUAGAUGAUUUUUCUAGUAUCAAAUAGUUUUUGAGAAAUUUAGAGCGUAUACCGGACGUGGGACCCACUAGGACGAAAAGUUCGGAAAAAUUUGGCUAGUUAGGUUAAGUUUUGGAUACUGAAUUUAAUUUAUCGAGUGUUAUGAGAUAAUGAGAGGUUACCAAGUGGAUUAGUGUAAGAGAGACAAAAGUUAGGCAAACAAUUAAUGAAAGUGACAAGUGUCACUUAGAGAUUCAUUACCAUUUUUGACCACUAUUCAUUCUCUUACCAAUUUAUCAAAAUAACUCAAAAAGUUGACCCAAAAAUCCCCAAAAUUUGCAAGCUCAUGGCCGACCCUCUCUAAGGAGAAAAGAAAAGAAAAGCUCUCCAAAAUUUUGCUCCAAUUUUGCUCAAUCUUCAACUUCAACCGGUUAAAUUUGUAAUUGCUCCAUAAAUCUCCUCCACUUAGUGAUUUUAAGGUGAUUGGUGAAGUUGUUUGGAAAGUUAAGGUGUUGAAUUGCUUCCUAUCUUGUGUUAUAAGGUGAGUGACUAAGGAACUACUCUUUUCCUUCCAAUCAUGUUUAAUUAGUAACUUAUGUGAGUUGAGGUGAUGAUUAUUGGUGCUAUUUCAUGAUUUGGGUUGAGAUUGAUGACAUUUUUCUAUUUAAUCAUGUGAUUUCUGUUUUAAUAUGAUUGUUAUGGUGUAGCCAUGUAUGAUGAUUGGAAAUGAUAUUUAAGGAAGUUAGAAGGUGGAAAAAGUGGUUAAUUGUAAGCAAUUUCUGUUUUGGAAAGAAAAUUGGAAAGUUAGGGUUUCUUUGAUUUACAUUCUGCCCGGCACUGUAGCUCAUAGUUAGGGGCCGAAUUGGCCUUGGGUUAAAACAUGAAAGUUGUAGGGAAUGAUAUUUUAGAGAUGCCUGCAAAAUGUCAGGUCAAUCGGAGUAGCGUAGCUUGAGAAAAGACGGAAUUACCCUUACUGUCCUGGUUUUACCCGAAUUUGAUAGUUGCGUCUGUAAUUGGUUAAUUUGGUUGGGAAUGCUUCGGAAUUGGUUGUUGAGGUCUUCUGAUGAAAUGUAGCCUUGUAUCUUAGCUUUCGGAUGGCUUUGGAAUUACUGGAUUUGGACUUAAGUAGCCUGAUUUAUGAUGUUUGCACCAGAAUGCGAUUUGUGAACCUGUUAUUGCGGUUCUGGUGUAGUAUAUUGCAUUUUUUACUUGAUUACACUCGAAAUUGGGCUGAGUGACCUUCUGCGAUAUUGUAGCCCUAUCUCUUAAUUUCGAAACGGUGUAUCUUGCACCUUCAUCCGAUAAUCGUAGUGCCUUUGGUGCCAAAAUCGCAAAAUGAUAUCAAAAACUGUUUUUUUGGGUGAACACUUAACUUCAUUUCCGGAUUUUUCUGAUUUCCUCUCAUGCUUAUGUAUGCUUAUGGAACCCUAUUUUGGUAGUAUUUGGCAUCGGUUUAUGACUCGUUAUCGAGUCUCAUUGUACUUGUUUGCAUGUUUUUGGGUGUGACGGUGGUUCACAACACUCCUUUGACGGAGGUAUAUGAAAUAUUAUUUUCAAACUUGGAGAGUGUACUACUCACUUGUGUGUUACUAUAUGGCUUUGAUGUACUUGAGUUUGAUGCGUUGAAUAUUGUUUGAAGUGAGGGUAUACUUGAUCACUCUCAUGUGACUUAUAUCAUUGUUUACCAUGAUUGGAAUGUUACAUGAAAUGAAAGUAAUUGAAUUGGUGGCGUUUGGACGAGUAUUCAACGACCAUGCUUGUUACCAUUGAGCUCAACCCCAUUGGUAGUUGAUUGAAUCGAGCCGGCGAGGGCUUGAUCGUGACAAUUAAUGAGCCUUGGAGAACUGUUAUAUGGAAUCUUGUAGUAUGAGAGACUCUCGAUUCCGAUAUACUCGAGUAAUACCACAUUGCAAGUGUUUGGAGUUUGGGCCCGGUAGGGGUAUGUUGGGUGGAAGGAAUGGAAGUAAAGUGGAGUCUACGAUGGGUUACUCUUAAACAUUGACGGAGGGUCAAUGAGCUUCGAUCAAGAAUGCAAACGAGGAAAAGGGCUCUUGAGAGCCGCCCGUAUCCUUUUAUCACCACUUUUGAUAUGUGUCUUUGUUUACUUUUGAUGAAUUGGAAUGAAAAACUUUAUGCUUAUGUGAACUUUGCUGCUUGAGUGGUAUUAUCUUAUUGGGUGUAAGUUCAUCCUAUUCCUUUUGUUUUUCUUACAGGAAAAUAAAUACUUUUGGACUGCAAUUGAUAGUUGGUUGCCGAAUUGAGCUAGUUGGAUAUAUCUUUUGUAUAGCUUAUUGAUUGAAACCCUAAAUGUACUUUUGGGUCCGUUUCACUUUUGAUUUGGCAAACCAUACAUGUAUCCACUUUUGAUUAACUUUUGUAUGCCACUUUGGAUUGUAUAUGCUUAAUUUCAACAUGUAAAUAUUUGGUUGGGUUUUGACGUGUCGGUUACUAUUCAUGGCCGACUCCGGAUUCAUUUUUUUUAUUUUGACCUUUUGACUUGUUUACGCGCAUUGUAUGUUCCGGAACGUAUUAGAUCGCUCUAAACUGAACCGUUAGUCCUGGCGAGAGUUGGGUAGGCAGUCCGCUAACCCCUUUGGUUCGCCUUAGGGGACGGUGGGGCUGUCACAUAAUUCAUAACCGAAACAGGGUUUGCCGAUAUUAAUAUUGAUACUUGAGUCGUCUGUGGACCUAUUUCGCAAUUCCAUGAACAUGACCUAUUCCAUGCGACACUUCUUCACAACCAUAAAACAUUCUUUCAGAUCUCUCUUAUCUGCCAUAUUUUCUAAUACAACAUUUGACUCCGCAAUGCACACUUGUACUCCUUACAAUGCACUCAGUUAUAGGACCCAUCACCAUUCAGGCUUCUAAGACACGCGUAGGACUGUGGUCGCGUCCUUUCAAUUUAGUUUCAUUCUUCAAUUCUAAGUUUCCGCUCAUUGUUAUCCAUGUGGCACAAUUUAGUGCAAUCUAGCAGUACACGGCAGUAAUUUAGGAAUUAUGCACCCCAAAUAAUUGAAAUUCAAAUUUCAAUUUCAAGAGAAAAUUAUGCCUUUUCAACUAUGUGCCUGAUUUUUUUUUUGACAUGUACGUCUCACAUGACAAAAAGUCGCCCAUAGCCUUUGGCCACGUGACAAAAAAGUUCAUGAGGAUUUAUGUAGUUCCGAAGAAUGGCACGUGCAGGUUCAUUACAGAAUUCGAUGGUUUUGUUCAUAGCAGUUGAUGAGUUGAAGGAGCCCCUGAAUCAAGGCAAAGAGAAAGAUGAUAAAUAUAGUUCAGUGGAGAGCAAUUGAGUCUGUUGUUGACACAUAAUAGUUGUGGAACAAGUGGGUUCCACAAGUAUUAGAUACGAUCGCCUCGUAUUUUAUGAAAUUAAUGUAAUGUACUAAUAGAUAUAUAGGGACUUGAUGUAAUAAUGUCAUGUGUAUUUUAAAAUUGAAAUUUGAAUAUUAAUACAUGUCAUCUUUGUACCUAAUGCAUUCAAAUUGAAAAAAUGCAUUUUUACAAUCAGUCCAUAGAUUGGGUAAUGAAUUAUUUACUAAUUUUAGUGUAAUUGGACUGAAAAUGUUAUAAUUAUUGAUUUGUUUCGUAAUAAGUGUCCGGACUCUACUGUUGAUCCUGUUGGGAUGCACAUCCUUCAAUGUUCAGGAAGUUUGGAUUCAAAACUGUGCCCACGUGAUGUUGAGAUGUUUUUUUCAGAUGUUAUAAUUUGCUCAUAUUACAUCGAUCAAUUGGCCGGUGUGGUUUGAAACAUAUUGAAAUAGAGGGGAUCUUUUUGGACUUCUCGUAAAUAACUUUAUUGCAGUAUUAAUGCUAAGAACCUAGUGCUUGUCGUGGCAUCCAUUUUGGUAUAGCAAGUAACAGCCACAGUUGAACUUAAUUCGUUUCUUCUGCUUGCGUCUCUUGUACUGGUGGUGUUUGAUUUUGAUGUUCGGUGGUGAAUAAUGGCGUUUGUAAGAAGUACAAGAUUGCAUUCUAUUUUGUCCAAUUGAUGAGAUCAUUUCGAUAUGAUGCGUUUGAUUAAUCACAAUAAGAGGAGUUGGGACUAAAAUUACAGAGCACGAUUGUUGAAAUUUUCUCUUUUAUCCUUUUGGCUUUUGCAUAUUUUUUAUUAGAGGAUUAAUCUCGUUGGGUUUAUAAAUUUUUUCCAAUCUUUCAGGAAUUGAAGAUUGACGUUAUCAGUGACGCUAUACUAGGCAUUGUCAUAGUGAUGGAUUAGGUCAAUAUGACCAGUGUAAUAGUUAUGGGUAUCUGAUUUUAGACUUGGUUCAACAGGUCUUUGCUGCUCAACUUGGGCCUUUGAUGAUAAUUGAUAUGGGCCUAUGUGCCUUCCUUUAUGACAAGUUACAUUCUGGACCGUCCAUUGAGCUAAUGUCUCGAACAUUUUGGGCUAGUGGAAAAUUGGCCCGAUAAGGUUUCAGUGGCUUCGCAAAUGUUCAAUCUUAAUUAUUUGAUAUUUUGUCGUAUUGUAUAAUGAACAAGCGAGGAUUGCUUGUCUUGAUAAUAUCAAGUGCCAUUGUCUUGUCUUCCUUAGCAAGCGCAGUGGUAUAUACUUCCCUAAUUUGUCGGAAUUGCGUUUGCUCCAACUAUUUGGUUGAAUAUUACGCCAUUCGAUGAAAUUUUCGUAUUUGUAAAUGUAAUUCCAAACAAUGAAUAAAUUGCUAGCGCCUUGUACGUUUGGAUGGAAGAUGAAAUGUGUAGAUGUCGAUUAGAGGUAAAAAAAAUCUCGGAUUCUUUGUGUGACAUUUAAUUGCGAAUUGGAAUAGAUAGUGAAGAUGAGCAAAACCAUUUUGGUGGGUUUCCUGAACAACUCGGAUAUAAACAAGCGAAAUAAAGAACUGGAUGCGCUUAAUUGAAUCUAGAAUUUGACUUUUGGUAAGAAUACAUCUAUUUUAAGUGAAGAAGAUGUUCUUGGUGUUGAUGAGGAAGAAAGAAGGUGUUCUUGGCAUUUCGAUGGUCAUGUCAGCUUGAUAACAUUACCCAACUCAUGGAAAUUAUUUCAAUAUAUGGGUAUCUUUGGUGGACUUAUAUAUUCUCGUCUUUUCGAAUGGUUAUAAUAUUACGAAACCAUUCGGUACGGACACGUAUGAUGGAUUGGUUGGACACGUGUCAGACGAACGGUUAGGAUUACUACAAGGAGUAUGAAAUAAAACCUAUAUUGCAAUUGAGGAGUAUGGACAGUCGGAUGGAUGAAAAUUAUGUGGUGGUCACAUAGACCUAUUUAUAUCUUAGGCUUUCGGACCUCCAAUCGUCAACUACUCAUUUUAUUUUCCAUCUAAAUGUACAGAGCACUAGAAAUUUAUUCGCAGUUUAGGAUUAUAACUUCAAAUAUGGAGAUUUCAUUGAAUGAGAUAAUUUUCGACUAGGUGAUCUGAGCAGACGGAGCUCCAACAGAUUAAGAAAAGUUUAGACCAUUGCGCUUGUUAAAAAAAGAUAAGACAAUGAAAUUUGACAUCAUCACGACAGGCGAUUCUCGCUCAUUCAUCAUACAUUACGCAAAAUGUUAAGCAAUUUGAAUUGAAUAUUCACGAAACCAUUGGAAUCUUAUUGGGUCAAUUUUUCACUGAUUCAGAAUGUUCCAAACAUAUUUGUCCAAUGAGCGGCUCAGAUCGUAACUUGUCUUGAAGAAAAGCCACAUUACAUGAACAGGGUAAGGGCCAUUCUUAGAAUCAUAAAAGGAUUUAAGAGUAGAGUAAAGAAAUGGGUCCUAGACGAACUGCUACUAUGAACUUCAGGUGGUUGAACCAACUAUCGAUCAAUAAUAUAACGAGAAAAUAAAGAAAGUAAAGAACUAAGAUUAUAUAGGCGGCUUAGCUGACCAUUCACAAGACAACAAUUUGUUUAAAUGAAGUUUAUUAAAGAUGUUUAGAAACUUAAAAAAUUGAGGAAAGCUUGAUCGUCACUUGAUCCAAUUUUGCUCCCAAGUUACAACCUAAACUACUUUAUAUUCUAAAAAUAAGAAGGAUUUCUUCAAUUUAGAGAGAGAAGUUAGCUGAAGAAAUGGUGUGUGUAGAAAGGUGAGUUUGAGGGGUAUUUAUAGUAAAAUUUUCGUUUUGCUAUGGUACCCAUUACACUGCUGUUAUAAUGCAUGCUACAGUGUACAAUGCUGAUUUUCUUGCCGUGAUUGUACAGUAGCUUGUCGGAUUACUACAGUGUUAUCCGAUCCUACAGUGAAUUCCAAAAGUACUAUUUACAAUUGUUUAUUUUUUAAAAUUUAUGAGAAAAUUUCAUAACAAUCAUUUUCAUUUUGUUGUAGUCCAUCAAACUUUCUUCUGAAUUUAAGGACUUUGGGUCUUGUUUAAGUACUUGUGACUUUCCUUUUGAUUGUAGUUGCGAAAAGAUCUGUUGGACCGAUUAGACAUAUGCUUAUUUAUUUGUGAUUGAGGUUAGUUUUGCUGUUGUUAUGGACUCCUACUGCAAAAACUAGCUUGUCUGUGGGUCGCCUAAUUUGAUUGAUUUUGGGUUCUUUUGGAACCAUGUUUUAAUGUUUGUUAGUUGAAUGAAAUCUUUAGUAAAUACUGGUCACCAUUUUGUAUAUCCUUGCCGGACAAGGAGCUGAGAAAAUUGAGCUUGUUUGAGGAAUUCAUACUUCCACUGAUAUACCCAUGCUAUUGAAAAAAAUUUAAAAUAGUGUAGGCUGAUGGGAAUAUAAUUGUUUAGUAGUUCAAAUCUUUGUUCGAAUAGUUGGUAUCCUUCCCUCAUAUCUGGUGGGAAGAUUUACAGGUUUGGUCAAUGUGUAUUCCAUUAGAUUACAAAUUAAGCUGUAAAAUUAUACUUGUUUAUCUUUAUAAAAUAAAUAGGUACAGAUACAUAUGGACCAAAAUGAAUUGGUUUAGAUCCUUUUUAGUCUAGUUUAGUUUAUUCUAGAAUCCUGCUGUGUCGACUUAGGAUGUCAGUAAGGUUAUAAGUGUUAAGAAAUCUAUGGUCUUUGGUUAGUGGGUUUGAGGAAUGGGCAAUCAACCUGAGAAGUCCAUGCCUUUUCAUUCUAGAAUAAACUAAACUAGCAUUCAUACCUAUUUUAGUUUACAAAGACAAACAAGUACAAUUUUACUACUUGGUUUGUAACAUGAUGGAAUGUACAUGGACCAAAAUUGCAGAUGCUUCCACCAGUUGUGAAUGAAGGAUACCAACUACUUGAACUAAAGUUUGAACUACCAAAUAGUUAUAUUCUCAUUAGUCUACACAAUUCUAAAAUAUUUUCAGUAAUAUUGAUAUAUCAAUGGAAAUAUGAAUUUCUUUAACAAACCCAGUUUCCUCCGCUUCUUGUCCAGCAAGGGUAUACAAAAUAGUGACCAACAUUUAUAAAAGAUUUCAUUCAGCGAGUAGAAAUUCAAGCAUGGUUUUAAAAGAACUCAAAAUCAAUCUAUCCAGGAGACCCACAGAGAAGCCAGUUUUUGCGGCAGAAGCCCAUAACAGCAGCAAACUAGCCUCAAUCACAAAUAAAUAAGAAUAUGUCUAAUAGCUCCAAUAAAUCUUUUCUCAACUACAAUUAGAAGGAAAAUCAUAGAUACCUAAACAAAAGCCAAAAUCCUCAAACUUAGAAGAAAAUUUUUCACGGUUUGCAAUAAAAUGAAGAUGACUGUUAUGAAAUUUUCUCACAAAUUUCAUAAAAUGAACAAUUGUAAACAGUACUAAUGGAAUUUGAAAACAAGCCUAUGGAUGAACUCGAAAGAUGAAUUACCAAUAUUGAACAAUCUUUCAUCACUCUUAUCAACAAACAAAAGUUAACGGAACAAGUCUCAGCCUCUAUUAACAAUUCUGUCAAACAAUUAGCCUGUAUUUUGAAAAAAUCAACAUUUCCUAUAGUUAAUCUUGUCAAACAGCCAACCUGUAUUUUGAAAGAACCUUUACCAGAAUUUUUUGCAUCAGUUGAUCAAUCCCUUAAACAAUCAACUUGUGUUCUAAAUGAAUCUACUUUAGAACCCUUAGCUUCCUCUUCAAACUAGGCAGCCAAACUCAAUUUGAUCAAACCUUCUCAUAAACCUAACUCCAAAUUGGAAGAAUCCCCAAAAACUCUAUUGUUCUAGGGAAAUUAAUUCUGAUGUCCUUCUAGAAGAAAGACCAAACAUUCUUCUAAACUCCUACAAUGUAAAUAAUAUCUGUAAAUGAAGCAGAGAUGGAAUUUCUGUAUAUAAUAUAAUCGCUGUCCUCCAACAAAUGAUGAUGGUAGCUAUGACAUACCACGUAACUCAUGGAUGUACCAAUCAACUUGCAACUCAUGUUCUCAUAAUCGAGUUCAUAGGAUAGCUCACAAUUCUGGGAUGCCUCAAUUAUGUUGCAGAAUUCAUCCCAAACCUUAGUAACUUAACCAAAUCUUUGUAUAAUAGUCUUAGUAAAUCGCCACACUUGUGAAUAGAUAAACACACUAACAUAAUCUACAAAAUCAAGACUCAUAUAAAAUCCAUUCCUUGUCUUUCUUUUCCUCAUCCUAUGGCCCAAAAAAUAGUUGAAACAAAUGCCUUAGAUAUUGGCCAUGGCAGUAUUCUAAAAAAGUCCAAAAAUGGCAAAGAACAUAUUAAUGCCUUCACUUCUAGGCAUUAGAAUAAUUUCUGACAAAACUACUCCACUAUUAAAAAGGAAGUUUUAGCUAUUGUCUAAUGCAUUUCAAAAUUUCAAGUAGAAUUAUUAAAAUCAAAAGUAUUUGUCAAGAAUAGACUGUAAAUUAGUAAAACAUGUUUUAGAAAAAGAUGUUGAAAACCUUGCUUCAAAACAAAUUUAUGCUAGAUGGUAAGCAAGUUUGUUAGUAUUUGGUUUUGAUAUCAAGUGUAUUAAAGGAUCUUCUAACUCUCUUCUUGAUUAUCCAACCCGUGAAUUUUCGUAACAAAGAUAAUGUCUAAGAAGAAGAAACAGCAAGAUGCCCUUGAGGCACAGGAAGCCUCAACCUCAUCUAUCCAAUAAAUUAUACCAAAAACAUCAAGUUCACCUGAAUUUUUAAACUCUUCACAAACCUCUAGAAAGGCUGAAAAACAAUCUCUCAUAUUACAAUUGUUCGGAACUCCUUUGACCCUAUAUCAACCAAAUCCUUACUAACCCUUUCCCAAAAAACAUGGGUUGAUAUUGUUGAAGAAGGAUAUGAUCCAACCUUACCAACCAUGAACAUCCGAAAAUAGGUCAAAACAAUGGGCCUCUCAAGCCUUUUGUCUAAAACCCAAAUAGCACCACACAAAUAAAGGGUUCAACGAAAGCCCUCUUCAAACACCUUAUCUUGUCAUUACUUCAAAAUAAAUGGCCCAAUAACCCUUAUGUAAAUUGAAUCGAAUACAUGGCAAAAUGAUCCAACAGUUAUUGCCACAGUUGUCCUUCCUCCAAACCAAAACUCUAUACCUCAAAUUUUGACAAAAUUCCUCUAAUACUAUAAGAAAAUAUUAACUGAUUCUCAUUUUGUUUCCCUUUAAACCCUAUACAGCAGAGAUAAAGGAUAAAAUUAAAGAAAAAAGAAUGAUUGAUACUCACUAUUGUGCACACUUAAAGUUAUCAGGCCCUCAAAAUAAGGAACCAACUUUGGUCAUCCAAGGUCCUUUACAAAAUCGUUCAACCCAAUAGGAUAAAUUUAUUGGGAUUACAAGGCGCAUGGUUUCAUAUUUUCUCUUAUCAAAAUGAAAUAAAUAAACACUCUUUCUUAUUCUAUUUCAAAAAGACAAACACAUACCAUUUUUCUAGUAUGAUUCGUUAAUUGGUGGAACUCACAUGGACCUAACCUAGAGGUACUUCCCAUAGAUGUUCAAACAAGAUGCAAACCUUUUGAAAAUAGAUUUGAGCUCCCUGACUAUUACAUCCCCAUCAAUUUACAUUGCUUCUCAAUUUUCUUUGUAGUUUGGGUGUUCAUAUGGAAGUUCAAAUUUAUCAUGCAAACUUGGCUUCCUCCUACGCUAGUCAGAUAGGUCCAUACUAAGUGGUGGCAAGCCUACAAAGGAGCAAUUCAAUUAAAUUAUAUUUAGGAAUGGUUCUAGAAAAAUUCCAAAGCUCUCAAGCCUAGAGAUCUACAAACUAGCCAAUUUUUUCAACAAAAUCCUUGGCAGCCGCAAAAAUUGCAUCAAUCACAGAUAAGAAAGAAUACAUUGAGUAGCUCAAGAGGACCUUAGCUCAACUUCAACCAUCACCAUUCAAAACAAAGAUAAAGCAUCAAGCUUCUACAAACAAAAAUCAACCUUAGCAUUGGAAGAAAGUGAAGAAUAACUGAACGAAGAAGAUUUGUUCUCGCAAAUCUCAUAAAAUUCAUCAUUGUAGUACCAAAAAUUAUUGUAGUAAUCCAACAAGUUACUAUGCAAACAUGGCAAGAGAAAACUGUACUGUACACUGUAGCACACACUAUAGUGAUAUUGUACAUUGUAGUGGGUACUAUAGUUGAAUGAAAAUUUUGCUAUAAAAAUUCCUUGAACUCACCGUUUCAAACACACUAAUUCUUCAGCUCACUUCUCUGUCGAAGUUAAGGAAUUCUCUCCUCCUUCUCACAAGAAAACAUUUAGGCUUUAUUUUGGAGUCUAAUUUCGAUCAAGUUUCGAUUAAGCUUCAUUCUUGUAACUCUCUAAACACCAAAGUUCAAUAAUUUUUUUUAAAGUUUGUCUUAUAUUAUUAUACUGUGAAUGGUUGGCUAUGCCAUCUAAAUACUCUUGUUAUUUAUUUUUCUUAUUUUCUUGAUAUUAUACUUGCUAUUAAUGGCCGGUUCAAUCGCUUGAACUUAUAAUGUUAGUCCGUUUGUGAUUCACUUCCUUAUUUUGUUUUAGUUGCUCUGUUUGGGCUUAUAGGGACUCCUUCUAGUCCUGCUUUGAUAUCAGAGCUAGAUGGGGAAGCGGAAUGGUAAGUAUGUUUCUUGACUUGUUAUGAUAUUUCUGGUAUGUACCUACGAGCUUAGAUCUUGUUGAUGAACAGUAAGCCUUAGAAGGCUUAUUGGGUCGCUCUGGUAUUAAGACCGUGAGAUUUGGCCGUAAGACCUGUAGGCAUGUUGAAACCCUUGGAGAAUGAUAGUACCCGUGAUGGUGAAUUGUUCUAAAAUUCAGAUCCAAUCUUUUAUAUUCAUAUUAUUUCUGUCAUAAUUUGUCUAAAGAGUAUAGUUACCUUCAUGGAUCCUGAAGGAUCUGUACCAAGGGGAAGGGUACUCCUACAUAUCAGUAUCUUGUUUUGUUAAUUUUUGUCGAUUAUUUUCCGAUCUAUUUGUCUAUCCUUAUUAACUUUUGCCUGUUAUUUACUUGUUUACUUCUUGAUGGCUUCUUUCUUUAGAUCCAAUUCUAAAAACACUAUUUCUUCAAACAUCUCUUCUCAAAACAUUCAUUUAAAGAAGAGAUCAAUUUGUAGGAUAUUAAUCAAGAAAUAGAUAAUUGAAAAUUUUCUAGGUAUCAAGAAACUGAAAUAUAUCAAAGUAAUAAAUGAUAGAGAAUCACUAUUGAUUAUACAAUUAAAACAAUUGAACAAAUUAUAGUUUUAAAUUCUGAUCGUGAAGAAAUUAAACUCUUAACAAAGAAAGCUGUUGAGAGAUAUCAACAAAAAUACAACUACAACCACUUUGAACUUGUAAAAAUUGCAAUUAAACCCCUGACAAGAGAAGGACUGGACACAUCUCUACUCCUUUUUCUUCGAGAUUGCAGAUUCCUAAAUUUUCAUUGCUUGGAAUGACUGAAACAGGUCUAUGCAGAGAACUAGUUUAUUUUGACUGCUUCAAACUUUACAGUGUCCCUUCAAGAUAGUAGCAUUUUGAAGCUAUAAUUUGCAAGAUUCAAUACAUGGUGAUGAGUUUAGCAUUUAGCACUAGAGCCUUGAAGACAACUAAAAAAGAAGAAACAAUACUUUUCUAAAUAGAUCUAGCUAACUCUAGGAUAUCUAUUCCUAAAAUCAUCACAUGGGAUGAGGUAUCACUCCUAGAUGAUUGGAUGCUACCAAAAAUAUUUCCCAAUGUCCCAGCUCAAAACACAAUAGUCUCAAGUAUCAAACAACUUCUUACUAGAACAUCCAAAUCAAGUUUGAUAGAUCAAGAAGUUUUAGGACAUCUUCCUCAACUAGUACUAAUAUAGACAUUCUUGACACUGGAAGACGUUCAGUCUCUUCCAUCUCCACUAGACUUCAUAACUUAGAUCUAUCCUUAAGGAUCCUUCAAGCAAUAUAAACAGUCCAAACAAAAACAGUUUCAAAAGAUCAAGGAGAAUCUUCUGAAGAAAACACGAUCCAUGGAGAUCUCUGGUAUAUCUUACAUACUCCACUAUGACAAACAAUCCAUUGUCAGAGCUGAAAGUUCUUACUACUGAGUACCAAAUUGACAAAAAAAAAAGCCUCAAAAAAGAAUUUUAUGCAAAACAUAGUCAAUUCAAGAGACGAUUGUUCUUUGACACGUGCAAAGAAGAAACCAAAAAAGUAAUAUGGGAAGUCUUCUACAGUUUUCUAAGAAGAAUAGAAUAGCAUAUCCAGUUCUUUAAUUGGUUUGAAGUCUAUGCCCUAAGAAACGAGAUAGAGUAUCCAUUCUCAUCAUCCAUUUGCAUUUUAAGAAAAUGGCAAACUUCAGAUGGAAAAAUUCACGCAGAAUUUCCUCCAUCAAAAAACAUUACUUUUUCAUACAAUUCCACAGAAAAUUAGUGCCAAACCAUUCAAAAUAAAAAAUGUCCAAGAAGAAGACCCUAUAAAUGCCAAAGACUUAAAUGUAAUACAUGAGCAAAACAAUUACACCAAUAAAUAUCUCAAACCCUUAGAGAAUACCUCCUUACUAGACCAAAAGCUUCUUCUUCCAUAACUACUUUUUCCUCCAAUCUCUUUUUCAGAUCAUAUGAAAUACUAAGCAAAUUUCAAAAAAUUUUCAAAACCAGCCUAUGGAUGAACUUGAAAAACGAAUUGCCAAAAUUGAACAAUCUGUUAUCAUUUCCAGAAACAAACAAAAGUCAGCAGAACAAGUCUCAACCUCCAUUAAUCAAACCUUUCAAAUAGUCAACCUAUAUUUGGAAAACUUGGAGUCUCCUACAUCAGUUAAUCUUGUCAAACAGCCAUCCCGUAUUUUGGAAGAACUCUUACUAGAAUCCCUACAUCAAUUAAUCAACCCCCAAACAAUCAGCAUGUGUCCUAAACGAACCUUCAGAACCCUUAACUUCCUCUUCUAACCGGGCAGCCAAACUCAACUUAACCAAACCUUCCCAUAACUCAACUCCAAAUUGGAAGAAUCCCAAAAAAUUCUAUUAUUCUACGACAACUUAUCGUGAUGUUCUUCUAGAAGAAAGACCAAACAUUCUUUAAAACUUUACAAUGCAAACAAUAUCUAUGAAUGGAGCAUAGGUAGAGUUUCUGAAUAUAAUAUAAUCACUAUUCUUCAACAAAUGACAAUGGUAGUUCUGGCGUACUGCACAACUCAUGGAUGUACUAAUCAACUUGAAGCUCAUGUCCUCAUAAUCAGAUUCUUAGGACAACUCAAAGAAUAGUGGGAUGAACAUCUCACUUCAUAACACAGAAAAAAUCUUGAAUGCAAUCAAACUUGAUACAGAUAGAGAACCAAUUCUACAGGAUGGUGACACUAUUCCAGAUACAGUUGCAACCCUAAUCUUUACCAUUGCAAAAACAUUUAUUAAUCAUCCGAGAAUAUUCAAAGACAAAUCUUCAAAAUUGCUAAACAACCUCAAAUGUGGGAAUCUUUCAAAUUUUUGAUGGUAUAAAGACACUUUCCUGACUUGUAUAUACGCCUAGACAGAUGAAAAUCAAGUUUAUUGGAAAGAAAAGUUCUGAGACGGUCUUCUCAAAUCAUUGAGAGAUCUUGUUUGCAAAUAAAUCCGGAUUCAAUAUGAUGGUAUGUACCUUGGGAAACAAUUAGUUAUGGACAGUUAACAAGCCAAGUUCAACAAGUCGCUCUGACGAUUUGUAGGCAAGACAAAAUGCUUAGACAACUUGCAAAGGAUCGAGCACAAAGAAUAAAAGACCUUAGUUCUUUCUAUGAACAAUUUGGCUUAUCUAGUUGCCAUUUAAAGGCUAAAAGGAAAUCUAAGCUUUCACCAAAACCUGCUCAAUAAAAGCAAAGAAAAACCUUACCUUAUAAACCUAGAAAACACAUUUCUUCUCCAAAUAUGAAUCCAACUACUAUACAACAUUUGCCACCAGCCUUACCAAUUACUAUUUGCCACAAAUGCAAACAACCUGGAUAUAUUGUUAGAUAUUACAAAAUGAAUAGAAGAAUUAGCAUGCUUGGUCUAGACGAGCAAGUGCUAAACCAACUAUCCAAUCUCCUUGCAAAAGCCAGCAGUGAUGAUUCAGAAUAAGAAGAAGAAAUUUAUGCAAACCAACUAGAGGAUGAUGAUGUUUCAUCUCUUUCACUACUAUUAGUGACGAAGAUGAAAGAAGGAACUGUAAAUGUCUUGACAAAAGAACAGGAUCUCCUCCUAGUUGUUAUUGAAACCAUUCCUAACCCUGAGAAGAAACAAUUUUAUCUUAAUAGAUUCAAAGAAUCCCUAAACAAACUACCAAAUACUUCCUCAAACCCAUUAACUAGAGAUCUUAAACUCCUCAAUACUUACAAUCUCACAGACAUUAUUAAUUGAAUCUUAUCUAAAUUGGUGAAACCAAUAUCAAUUCAAAACCUCCAGUUUGAAAUUGCUCUUCUCAAAGAGGAAAUUAGAGCAAUCAAGGAAAAACAAGAACUUAAUAGCCUUGUCCUACAAAACCAUGCUACCUCACAAUCAAAAUCCUUGAAAAUCUUACCAGAGAACUCAACCACACAAGAUGAUAUAGAAUUCCUAAACCGUCCAGAAUUUCUCACAAAAUUGUUGGUUCAGAUCAAGCUAGUUAUUUGGGAUGACUAUAUACUUAAAACAUAAACCCUCUUUGAUUUAGGAACUAACCUUAGUUUUAUUCAAGAAGGACUUGUUCCCACCAAAUUCUUUGAAACAACUAAGGAAGGACUCCGAGGAGCAAAUUGCUCUAAAUUAGACAUUCAUUUUAAACUCCCUAGUGUGACAAUCUAAUUUUUGACAGUUUUGAACAAAGAAAACUUUCUUCUAGCCAAUGACCUUUCAGACAAUAUAAUGCUAGGAAUUUUCUUCAUUUUAUCACUUGUUUCUUACCUAGUUACUCAUAAAGGAAUCGUGCCACAAAAUUAUGGCUCAGAAGCCCUUCUUCUUUUUUUCAAAAAAACUAAAACAAAAUUAGAUCCCUAGGCAAAACAUUCAAUCUAACCAAAGAAUUGUUUUCUAAUCUCUCUUGCAGGAAAAUAUCUAUUGAAGGAAGCUCAACGACCAACUCCCUCCAAACUCUUGGAGAAACUGAAGAACAUCUUUCUAUAAAACUUGCAAAUGAUGCUAUCUCACAUCUCAUGGCAGAUCAUUAUUCCUGUCAACAAAAAUAUGGAGAAUCUAGAAUUAGAAAUUAUGAUACUAUAUUCUAUGAUUGUGAAACCAAUGAUGGAUCCCUGUUUAACUCAAACACAAGCAUGACAAUGUUUGUAUAAGGCCUACAAACUCAAUUCAAAUCUUAAAAAUCAAUGCUUCACAAAGAUGAGAAAGGUCUAGAGGAUGAUUCUCGGUAGACAAUGGCUCAACAAACGAGGAGUUAAAGCAUCACAAUAUGAUGACUAGAUUCGAGAAAUAUUAGAAGAAAUAUUUGCAACCAUCUUCUAAAAGAUGCUCGAAAGAACUCUAAAAACUAAAGUAAAAAUGAAGAAAUCAACAAAGGAAUGCAACAAGCUGGCUGAACUUGCUAAUGCUGUCCCAAAAACUCAUAUCUAAAUCAAGAUAGUAGUUAGAACAAAAAAUUGAAGACAAGAAUAAUCAGAAAUAAUUUAGUUAGAAUUCACCGCAGUACUGAAAAUCACUAUAACAAUCAAACAAGUUAAUUUGCAAACAUGGCAGGAGAAAUUUGCAUUGUACACUGUAGCAAUACUAUGCGUUGUAGAACAAAAAUUUUGCUAUAAAAACCCCUCAAACUCAUCAUUUCAAACACACUAGUUCUUCAACUUACUUUUCUCUCUAAGUUGAAGAAUUCUCUCAUCCUUCUUCCUAGAAAACAUUUAGUUUAGGCUUUAGCUUGGAGUCAAACUUCAAUCAAGUUCCGAUCAAUCUUCAUUAUUGUAAGCUUCUAAACUCCAAACUUCAAUAAACUUCUUUUUAAAUUUGUCUUAUAUUGUUAUAUUAUCAAUGGUCGGUUAAGCCGCCUAGAUACUCUUAUUAUUUACUUUCCUUACUUUCUUGGUAUUAUACUUGCCACUAAUGGUCAGUUCAACCGUCUGAAUUCAUAGUGGCAAUUUUUCUAUGUCCCACUUCCGUACUCUGC